RNAcentral lists this ribosomal RNA (468 nucleotides) under uncultured bacterium. RNAcentral describes it as "partial 16S ribosomal RNA". It matches the Rfam family "Bacterial small subunit ribosomal RNA", at positions 28 to 507 of the family's 1533-position model. The record is from RNAcentral.
GACGAACGCUGGCGGCGUGCUUAACACAUGCAAGUCGAACGGAAAGGCCCUGCUUUUGUGGGGUGCUCGAGUGGCGAACGGGUGAGUAACACGUGAGUAACCUGCACUUGACUUUGGGAUAACUUCAGGAAAAUGGGGCUAAUACCGGAUAGGAGAUCCUGCUGCAUGGUGGGGGUUGGAAAGUUUCGGCGGUUGGGGAUGGACUCGCGGCUUAUCCGCUUGUUGGUGGGGUAGUGGCUUACCAAGGCUUUGACGGGUAGCCGGCCUGAGAGGGUGACCGGCCACAUUGGGACUGCGAUACGGCCCAGACUCCUACGGGAGGCAGCAGUGGGGAAUAUUGCACAAUGGGCGGGAGCCUGUUGCAGCAGCUCCGCGUGCGUGAUGACGGCCUUCGGGUUGUAAACCGCUUUCGCCUGUGACGAAGCGUGAGUGACGGUAAUGGGUAAGGAAGCACCGGCUAACUACGUG